UACGUAGGGUGCGAGCGUUAAUCGGAAUUACUGGGCGUAAAGCGUGCGCAGGCGGUUUUGUAAGUCAGAUGUGAAAUCCCCGGGCUUAACCUGGGAACUGCGUUUGAAACUACAAGGCUGGAGUGUGGCAGAGGGGGGUGGAAUUCCACGUGUAGCAGUGAAAUGCGUAGAGAUGUGGAGGAACACCGAUGGCGAAGGCAGCCCCCUGGGUUAACACUGACGCUCAGGCACGAAAGCGUGGGGAGCAAACAGG
RNAcentral lists this ribosomal RNA (253 nucleotides) under uncultured bacterium. RNAcentral describes it as "partial 16S ribosomal RNA". It matches the Rfam family "Bacterial small subunit ribosomal RNA", at positions 524 to 776 of the family's 1533-position model. The record is from RNAcentral.